GAGUUUGAUCAUGGCUCAGGAUGAACGCUGGCGGCGUGCCUAAUACAUGCAAGUCGAGCGAACGGACGAGAAGCUUGCUUCUCUGAUGUUAGCGGCGGACGGGUGAGUAACACGUGGAUAACCUACCUAUAAGACUGGGAUAACUUCGGGAAACCGGAGCUAAUACCGGAUAAUAUUUUUGAACCGCAUGGUUCAAAAGUGAAAGACGGUCUUGCUGUCACUUAUAGAUGGAUCCCGCGCUGCAUUUAGCUAGUUGGUAAGGUAACGGCUUACCAAGGCAACGAUGCAUAGCCGACCUGAGAGGGUGAUCGGCCACACUGGAACUGAGACACGGUCCAGACUCCUACGGGAGGCAGCAGUUAGGGAAUCUUCCGCAGUGGGCGAAAGCCUGACGGAGCAACGCCGCGUGAGUGAUGAAGGUCUUCGGAUCGUAAAACUCUGUUAUUAGGGAGACAUAUGUGUAAGUAACUGUGCACAUCUUGACGGUACCU
RNAcentral lists this ribosomal RNA (491 nucleotides) under uncultured microorganism. RNAcentral's name for it is "bacterial SSU rRNA". It matches the Rfam family "Bacterial small subunit ribosomal RNA", at positions 9 to 480 of the family's 1533-position model. The record is from RNAcentral.